GAUGAACGCUGGCGGCGUGCCUAAUACAUGCAAGUCGAGCGAAGCGGGGACGGGGGAGUAACACGUGGAUAACAUCCUAUCAGACUGGGAUAAAUUCGGGAAACCGGAGCUAAACCGGAAACUUAGAGAAGGAUCCGCGCUGCAUUAGCUAGUUGGUAAGGUAACGCCUUACCAAGGCAGCGAUGCAUAGGCGACCUGAGAGGGUGAUCGGCCACACUGGAACUGAGACACGGUCCAGACUCCUACGGGAGGCAGCAGGAGGGAAUCUUCCGCAAUGGGCGAAAGCCUGACGGAGCAACGCCGCGUGAGUGAUGAAGGUCUUCGGAUCGUAAAACUCUGUUAUUAGGGAAGCGGUACCUAAUCAGAAAGCCACGGCUAACUACGUGCCAGCAGCCGCGGUAAUUC
Molecule: ribosomal RNA, 405 nt
Filed under: uncultured bacterium
Lineage: Bacteria
Description: partial 16S ribosomal RNA
Rfam family: Bacterial small subunit ribosomal RNA
Source: RNAcentral